Long non-coding RNA from Salmo salar (Atlantic salmon), 1301 nucleotides. RefSeq lists it as uncharacterized. Lineage: Eukaryota; Metazoa; Chordata; Actinopteri; Salmoniformes; Salmonidae. The record is from RefSeq and is a predicted model, not a curated record.
CUGACUACGCUGACUGUGCUAGUGGCAGACUCCACUAAGCUGGCAGGCUGGCUAACAGCCUGCUGCCUGGCAUGCACCCUAUUUCAUUGUGGAGCUACAGUACAGUACAUAGUCAACCUCCCUUAAUAGUGCCCAACAGUAUCAACAUAUCCCUCUCUAUUUUUCCCCUCAACCAAAACCGUUGUGUUUUUCUGAAAUGUCACAAUGCACUGUUAAGAAUGAAUUAAUUGCUUUACGCUAAACCUCCUACCCAGCCUCAUAGGUCUCCAACAAAAAUAAUCUGCAUUCACAAGUGCUGAGCAGUCUAAGGGGAUAAUUGCAAUGAUGUCUGGUUAGUACUGUAUAUGUUCAUCUGUGAUUUAACAGUGCUUUGGUCAAAAUAGCAACUCCCCUUUAAUCCUUUCUGCUAAAACAGCUUGUCUAGGACUCAAUUAUAUGUCUCCGUUCUAAUCAAUGAUGUUGUCUUGUUAAGCCUUCCAGACAAAGGUACUGAUGAAGCUAGACAUUAUAAUUGAGAACCAGCAAGAGCAACUGAGGCUCCUUAUUGCUACAAGGCCAUCGACCACAGCUGAGGACCUCGACAUUCUGCCAUCACCGUUAAGACUCUGUGGCUGACCUGAAGCUACUGUUUAAGCGGAUCUCAACAGAGGAGAAUUUUCACAAACAAUUGACAUCCUAUCUCAGUAUGCAUGGGUCCAACACAGUAGGGAAGACUGUGAGAAGGAUGAUAGGGCGCAUUGGGACCAACAGACUGUUGUCCCAGUUCAGUAUGAAAAGGAGAAAAAGUUGGCAUUCGAAGACCUGCCUCUUUUAAGAGUAAUGACAAAGGCCUGCAGCAGAUGCCACAAAGAGGCCAAAAUCACUGAGUGUGAGACCGAAAUAGGUGAAUACCUGAAGCAUGCGCCAUUUAAGGAGGGGGGCAACAAAUACAGAUCGAAGACCACAACACUUGAAAUAAUGGAGAGUGACGGAAGCACGAGACCAAGAGACAGAAGCCCAAGAGACAGAAGCCCAAGAGACAGAAGCCCAAGAGACAGAAGCCCAAGAGACAGAAGCCCAAGAGACAGAAGCCAAGAGACAGAAGCCCAAGAGAGAGAAGGAGCACAAGCACAGAGUCGACCAUAAUGCUUUUUGACUAAAGAGGACAUUUUGUAACUCCAGUGUUUUAUUAAAUAUGUCCAGUUGAAAAAAAAAAGGAAAUACUAGGGAAAUAAUUAGUUAGUAAUUAGUUUCUAAUGUCACGUCCUGACCAGUAAAGGGGUUAUUUGUUAUUAUAGUUUGGUCAGGACGUGGCAGGGGGU